This 30-nucleotide ribosomal RNA is filed under the name Psorodonotus venosus. RNAcentral's name for it is "partial 26S ribosomal RNA". The record is from RNAcentral. RNAcentral also lists the same sequence under 1 other name. Lineage: Eukaryota; Metazoa; Arthropoda; Insecta; Orthoptera; Tettigoniidae.
CUCAGAGCAGGCGAGACUACCCGCUGAAUU